Molecule: ribosomal RNA, 253 nt
Filed under: uncultured bacterium
Lineage: Bacteria
Description: partial 16S ribosomal RNA
Rfam family: Bacterial small subunit ribosomal RNA
Source: RNAcentral
UACGUAGGGGGCAAGCGUUGUCCGGAUUUAUUGGGCGUAAAGAGCGUGUAGGCGGCUAUACAGGUCCGUUGUGAAAACUGGAGGCUUAACCUCCAGACGUCGAUGGAAACCGUAUGGCUAGAGUCCGGAAGAGGAGAGUGGAAUUCCUGGUGUAGCGGUGAAAUGCGUAGAUAUCGUAAGGAAGACCAGUGGCGAAGGCGGGUCUCUGGACAGUUCCUGACGCUGAGGCACGAAGGCCAGGGGAGCAAACGGG